This 430-nucleotide ribosomal RNA is filed under the name uncultured bacterium. RNAcentral's name for it is "partial 16S ribosomal RNA". It matches the Rfam family "Bacterial small subunit ribosomal RNA", at positions 29 to 504 of the family's 1533-position model. The record is from RNAcentral.
AACGAACGCUGGCGGCAGGCCUAACACAUGCAAGUCGAGCGAGACCUUCGGGUCUAGCGGCGGACGGGUGAGUAACGCGUGGGAACGUGCCCUUUUCUACGGAAUAGCCUCGGGAAACUGAGCGUAAUACCGUAUACGCCCUUUGGGGGAAAGAUUUAUCGGAGAAGGAUCGGCCCGCGUUGGAUUAGGUAGUUGGUGGGGUAAUGGCCUACCAAGCCUACGAUCCAUAGCUGGUUUGAGAGGAUGAUCAGCCACACUGGGACUGAGACACGGCCCAGACUCCUACGGGAGGCAGCAGUGGGGAAUCUUAGACAAUGGGGGCAACCCUGAUCUAGCCAUGCCGCGUGAGUGAUGAAGGCCUUAGGGUUGUAAAGCUCUUUCAGCUGGGAAGAUAAGGACGGUACCAGCAGAAGAAGCCCCGGCUAACUCC